UGAUACUCUCUAUACAAAUCAUUCUCUGCCCAAUAAAAAGGUCGACACGCGAGAGGAGCUCCUUCUCAAUUUGUUUUCACCAUCACAUUAAACAGACACCCUCACCCAUCGGAAAACCGACCCACCACCAAGCUUCUUCCUCUUCAACAAAGACCAUCCCCGCUGAACUCAUCUGCUUGGUUUCGAGAACAAGCACACACACACACGAAACAGAGCCUGGAAACGGAAAGCAGAACUCGGUCUUUACCGAUUCAUUGUUUUGAUCUUUAGGAGACCAGAAAUUGAACAAAAAUAGGUCUCGAUGGUUUUUCUUUUUCAUUUCAAUUUCUGUCUCGUUUGAAGUUAGUGUCCGGGUCGUUUGAGUUUCAAAGCUUUCGUUUUCUUUUGAUUUCAAUGGAGACAACUUAAAUUCUGCCCGUGUCAGAGUUUGUCGAGUGUUCCUCGCUGGUCGAGGUCUGUUCGAGAUUGAUAGUUCCUGUUGCUCGGUUGUUUGUUUGUCGUGGAUUUUCGUCACCGGAUUUAUUUGUAUUUGACAGCGAGCAGAAUUAAUUGAAGAUCCCUGUCGCUGAACUUGUCAAAAUCUGUUGUGGUAUGAAAAGUUUUGUCAUGGAGUUCAUUUGAAUUUCAAAGUUUUGUUUCUUCUGACUUCUAUUGGAGUUGAUUCAAUUUUGUUCAUGGAUUUUGUUUGAGUUUUGUGGUUGCUUCAUGGUUUGGUGUUGUUCAAGUUAGUUCCAUGGUUCGCAAUGGAUUUUGUUUGAGUUUUGUGGUUGCUUCGAGGUUUGGUGUUGUUCAAGUUAGUUCCAUGGUUCGCAAUCCAAGUUCUUGUUACUAUCUCGGUUUUCCGAUCAAACAUAAUUGUCCGUUGGAGUUCAAAGAGGCAGUCUAGUUCGCCAUCCCUUGAUCCUGAUCGAAGUGUCGUCCAUUGUUUCCGGUCAAGCUCGAGUUGCCGAAUCUCUGUGGCUGUUUGAAUCUCAACGUUCAUCUGCUUGAAUACCUAAUCUAAACAGAGUCCUAAUAUCGAAAGCUUAUCAAGGCACUACUAUAUAUUCGAGGUCGUUUCGUCAAGGUCUGGUUUGUCGAGUUUCCGUUCGCUUGUGUUGUUGCCUAUUUUCUGUCGCGAUCCGAUAUCCAUUUCUGUUGGGUUUGUCAGUGAGUUAAAUUCAAAGGAAAAUUGAUCCAUUCGAGGUCCAUCUCUUACCCUACUUUAAUUUUUCUUAUGUGAUGCUUAUUUCUGGAUUUACUUAUGCUGAUUUAGUUAGUUGAUCGAAUUGUCAUGGCUGAACAUAAUACUCUUGAUAUGCUGUGUUGAUCGAUGAAUAUUGGUUGAUUUGAGUUGAAGUUAUGUUGAAAUUUUAAUUGUAAACAACUUAUGAAUUCUGGUCUGGUGGAUUUUUGUUGAUAUUUAAUUCAAAUGGAAGCAGUUAAUGAGCCAUUGAAGUAAGUGUGAAUAAAUGGAAUGGGAUCGGAUUUUGGUGGCAGCAGAGAUGUGGUAACUUUGUAGUUAAGUGUUUAAGUAAUUUCUUAAUUGUUUCAAUUGUGAAAAAAUGCAAUUAGGUUGAAGAAUUUUCUACAUUUCCUGGUGCUGGAACUACCUAUAUAAAGUAGUGGUUUGAAUUUAUUUUUCUUUCUUUCCCUAUUUUGUUUUUCUUGAAAUCAGUUGGUUACAUAAGACAGUUGCACGUAUGUGAAAUGAUGGAAUUUGAACGUAGAUGGUGUAUUUUCACUUCUGAACUUAUUUUGGAAGCUUCUGCUUACUUGUCACUAGUUUUAGAUUAAAAAUACAAAUGAACUUUUGUCUGAGUAGUUCAUGACCCUCUAAAUAAAACUUGAAUUCCUUUUCUUUAGAUUAGAAUCGAGGUGUGCCAUGCCAAGCAAAAAAAAAAACAACAAUUGCAUAGCUCUCGUUUUAAUUCAGUAUUGAUCCUUAGAAUCUGAGGCGUGCCGUUUAGCUAAAUUUUACGGCCCUCGCAAAUUGCAAACGCGUAGUUGCUUUAGGCGCGUAUCUAAUAAUUUACAUUCCUAAAUACGGGUGAGCAUUUUAUGCGGCCCAAAUCUAAAUCCUAAAACGUUGAAUAGAGUGUGCCUGGGAUUGUGGGUUCAUUUGAUGCGGCGCAAUCCAAAAGCAUACUUUAAACGAUGUUCACUUUCUCUUAAAUAAAUACAAAUUAAAUAAAAGCGGUUAAAGAUAAAAUUGGCACAUAGGCAUUUCAUGUAUUAAAAUCAGAUUUUAGCCAUUCAUAACAAUUUAAGCGAUCGUGCUAGAACCACGGGAUCCGAGGGUGUCUAACACCUUCCCUCGCGUAAACAGAAUUCCUUAUUUAGAAUUUCUGGUUCGCAGACUCCAAUUGGGAAGUCGAACAUUUUCCCCGGAUUGGGAUUCAAGCUGAACUGGUGACUUGGGACACCAAAACCCGAACCUUUCCCAAGUGGCGACUCUGAAUAAAUAAAUAAUCCCGAUCCGAAUAAUGUCACUUUAAAUGGAAAAACUCCCUAUGUGUGUAAAAAGGAGGUGUGACAGCUCUGACGACUCUGCUGGGGAAAGAACCUAGAACUUUUUGUUCAGGAUUCAGAAUUCGAGCUUAGAAUAAUUGUUGUGUUUAGAUUUAUCUGAUUCCGUUACAUGAUAUUUGCUUAAUGUACUAAUUGAUUGCUUUUACCUAAAAACUCCCUUAUACAUUAUCCUUCGGGUAGGUGUGUAAAAAGGAGGUCUGACACAACAUAUAGUCAAAUUUUGAUUUGAAGAAUCGACUAUUUGGUUAUAAAAAUAAUAAUGCAGUAAUUUAUGUGUUCUUGAACCAACUGAUCCUCCUCCUGCUUCUUCGUACCCGAAAGAGCAUAACCUCAUAGAUUUUGGCAGAAGUUAGGUUUUGGUAGUUCAAAAUUCCGAAGAUAUAAACAGAAAAAUGAAGAAAAUCAAAUAAAACAUGUAUAUUUUACCAUCGCGUUCAUCAUACUGUUCAAAAUUCCGAAGAUAUAUACAGAAAAAUGAAGAAAAUCAAAUAAAACAUGUAUAUUUUACCAUCGCGUUCAUCAUACAUAGAUUGCCCGAAAUUUUAUGGUAUAUAAGUGUUGUUCAGCUAAUUACUACUGCCCUUUUAAUCCUAUAUAUAAUUACUAUUGCAUUAUAACAGGAUAAAAUGCAAGAUUGAAGUUGUCUGCUUUCUUACUCCUUUUCAGGCAUGGGAAGUGAUUUCGACAAAUUUGGUUGGAUUACAACAACAACAAAUCUAGCAGUUUCCCACAAGUGGGGUCUGGGGAGCUAAGAUGUACCAGCCUUACCCUUACUUUGGAAGGGCAGAAAGACUGUUUCUAAUAGACUCAAAUUUGGCCGGACUAAAGGUUGAAAAUCAUAUCAACCUAUUGAAGGAGCUUAUUGCAAGUGCUGACCCCAAUAGCAGCAGCAAGAUGCCAAGCAGCAUGUAGAAAUGGUGUUUCAGGUAAGAAAUCAUCAGCAAUGAAAAGAGCACCACCGAGCAAUGAUGACAUUUUAUGCACAUUGUGAGCCAUCCUCAGAUCUGGAUCUUUCAAUGCUCUUUUUGCGAAAGCAACCUAAACAAAGAUGCAUGAAUAGAAAAAUCAUAUACUGUGUGCCUUAGAUAAUAAGAGAUAUAUGACCAUCUAAGUCGGUGGCCAAGCUAGGAAAAAAUUCCCGACAAAGGGUGUUCAGUAUGUGUUAUAUAACUCUAAAACGUAAUAUUUACUUGUAUGCGCAGUAUAAUUUUGUGACAAAGGGUGGUUAACAGCAGGCUACACAUUGGAGAUGUAGAUACCACAAUAUAAUUUUACGACAAAGGGUCGUUAACAGCAGGCUACACCAUUGGAGAUGUAGAUACCGACCUCCAUCAUUCCAGUAUGUACAGCAGAAACCAUCAGAGGCUGGACCGGUAGUAGGAAAGCAUAUGCUGCCAUCAAAAACUUCGGAUUCUUAUUCAUAAGUGCUCUUGAUAGACACUGAAAGAAAAAAAACACAACCAUUCAUAUUGUGCAAGACAUAAAGUACGAUAGGAUCCACUUAUUUAUCAAAUUCUACCUUUAUUCCUCCAAUGAUUCUGUGUAAAAUUACAGAAACAUUACUUUAAAACUACGAGCCGUUUGUCACGACCCGUUUGUCGUGACCGUGAGAUCAAAAGAAAGAGCGGGCCAAUUGGAACUUCGUCGAUAGGAUAAGGGAACGGCAUUAGCGAUAAGGCGUUGUUCUCCCUUAGAUACUUCGAUCUGGCCGAGUCAGGCAGGCCGACCCGGUUAAGUUUGGGGUGCUUGUCGCUGGUCAUGGACUUGACAAUGAAGGGGACCGAGGUAGGCAAAAGGGACAACUGGUCGGGGGGCUAGUGCCGCUCCCCUGAUGAGCCCAAGGCAGGGCGAAACCGGUUGGCUACCGCAUGUGAUAAGGCUUGUCUGGGGUGGUAUGGGACGCCCCAGGCGCCGCAUGGGCGCUUGUGCUGCGCCGGACUCUCAGCCCGUGACAAGUGGUAUUAGAGCGGGACGUACUUGCUCGCUGUUGCGCGUUAUGGUGGGGUCCUCGGCGGAGGACUGUGCGGGUGCGUUUGCCUAGAUUGCCCCUCGGGAGGACUUGCACUGAAGACGGCCCCAUCCUGCAAGGUCUGCGGGGCAGGACCGGUGGAUGGCCAUCAGCAAGGCCGGUUGCACAAAGUGAGAUGCGACUGGGCCAAGACACGCGACGCGCAAAGCAGUAUUGUAUGGGAUCCUUGGGCAGAGUCCUUCUCCCCAACAGCACGAGGACGUGCUAGAUUUUGGGUGGGGGAGAAUGUCACGACCCGUUUGUCGUGACCGUGAGAUCAAAAGAAAGAGCGGGCCAAUUGGAACUUCGUCGAUGGGAUAAGGGAACGGCAUUAGCGAUAAGGCGUUGUUCUCCCUUAGAUACUUCGAUCUGGCCGAGUCAGGCAGGCCGACCCGGUUAAGUUUGGGGUGCUUGUCGCUGGUCAUGGACUUGACAAUGAAGGGGACCGAGGUAGGCAAAAGGGACAACUGGUCGGGGGGCUAGUGCCGCUCCCCUGAUGAGCCCAAGGCAGGGCGAAACCGGUUGGCUACCGCAUGUGAUAAGGCUUGUCUGGGGUGGUAUGGGACGCCCCAGGCGCCGCAUGGGCGCUUGUGCUGCGCCGGUCGGUUGGCUACAGCAUGUGGUAAGGCUUGUCUGGGGUGGUAUGGGACGCCCCAGGCGCCGCAUGGGCGCUGUGUGCUGCACCGGACUCUCAGCCCGUGACACGUUGCUAAGCAUGUAAAUAAGGCAAAGGUGACAUUGACAAACUCAUUUUCUAGCCGCUAAGUGGAAAUAAAAGAAAAAUCAAUCAACUAUGCGUCAGUCACAUACUGACUGGGUAGGCUAUAUGAAUCCUCUAUAUCCAUUCCGUUCUACACGGAUCCAUUUCAUUCCAAUACUAGCAAAUUAGGGAAAGGAGAAUGAAAGAGCAAAAAACUAGAAAGCAAGAAUGAAUUGCUUGAGACUCACUACUGUAGUUGUUGCUAUCAUGGUGUUGUCAGCCCAUCUCAGAUACUGUUUUACUUUCCCUCUUGAAGCAUGGUACAAACUUAAGGCAAUUCCCACUCCAAUCAAUGAAUUGGCGUAGAUUUUGCAGUUGAGAUUCUUCCUGCAUCAAUGGACGAAGAACCUUUAUACAGAUCAUGACAGCUACAAAUUUUAGAUAUUGAAGCAACCUAACGCUAUGACCUUGGAACAUGAAGUCCAAGAGCAAUAAAAGGAAGAGAAGUGAUCACAUUAGCAAUAGUUUCUGCAAGGUUCUUAUCACCUAAAAAAGAAGAGAAAUUUUAAAGAUUAGAAACAUGUAAGAGGACGAAUUAUAUAUAGCUAAUUUUAAGUAAAAAGUUGUUUACCAUGGAGAGUACAACGGAUGGGCCUCAGACAAGCUGGCCUUUGCUGCCAAACUCUCCUGGGGAACACGUUAACAUACAAAUCACAUACUAGAAAACUGGCAAAAAACGUCCAGAAAAACUGACCGAUCUAUUUUAAGUGUCCAAAUUGACAAGUGAAUAACCUUGUUACUAUAGAAAAUAGAUAAGCAUUUCUACAAUGACUAAAGGUGAAGACAUCUUCAACUUACUGAAGUAUUAGUUGUUGUCUUGAUCCGCCGGAUCCAUGGAAGUCCCCGUGUCUUAUCUCUUCCAAUGUGAAGGGUGAAUAAGGCACCAAAUGCACUCCGUGCACAUCUUCUAAGGCUUUACUGGGUGUGAACGAACUCAUUUUACAAUCAGUGAACUGAAUAUGAGAGACACAGAUACCACCUUCAAUGCAAGGCAAUAGAACAGUUGUUCCAUAUUUUCUUUGGACGAAUAAAUAUAUGAUAAAGGUCACAGGUUGAUACAAAUUCAGGCUAUCUCAAGAAAAGUUAUAUUGUUGCAUCCCAUGGCUAUAUUAUGAAUUCACGAGACGAAGGCCGGUGUUAAUGAGAGGUUAGAGGUAUGGAGACAGACUCUCGAGUCUAAGGAAAGGAGAAUGAAAGAGCAAAAAACUAGAAAGCAAGAAUGAAUUGCUUGAGACUCACUACUGUAGUUGUUGCUAUCAUGGUGUAGUCAGCCCAUCUUAGAUACUGUUUUACUUUCCCUCUUGAAGCAUGGUACAAACUUAAGGCAAUUCCCACUCCAAUCAAUGAAUUUGCGUAGAUUUUGCAGUUGAGAUUCUUCCUGCAUCAAUGGACGAAGAACCUUUAUACAGAUCAUGACAGCUACAAAUUUUAGAUAUUGAAGCAACCUAACGCUAUGACCUUGGAACAUGAAGUCCAAGAGCAAUAAAAGGAAGAGAACUGAUCACAUUAGCAAUAGUUUCUGCAAGGUUCUUAUCACCUAAAAAAGAAGAGAAAUUUUAAAGAUUAGAAACAUGUAAGAGGACGAAUUAUAUAUAGCUAAUUUUAAGUAAAAAGUUGUUUACCAUGGAGAGUACAACGGAUGGGCCUCAGACAAGCUGGCCUUUGCUGCCAAACUCUCCUGGGGAACACGUUAACAUACAAAUCACUACUAGAAAACUGGCAAAAACGUCCAGAAAAACUGACCGAUCUAUUGUAAGUGUCCAAAUUGACAAGUGAAUAACCUUGUUACUAUAGAAAAUAGAUGAGCAUUUCUACAAUGACUAAAGGUGAAGACAUCUUCAACUUACUGAAGUAUUAGUUGUUGUCUUGAUCCGCGAGAUCCAUGGAAGUCCCCGUGUCUUAUCUCUUCCAAUGUGAAGGGUGAAUAAGGCACCAAAUGCACUCCGUGCACAUCUUCUAAGGCUUUACUGGGCGUGAACGAACUCAUUUUGCAAUCAGUGAACUGAAUAUGACAGACACAGAUACCAGCUUCAAUGCAAGGCAAUAGAACAGUUGUUCCAUAUUUUCUUUGGACGAAUAAAUAUAUGAUAAAGGUCACAGGUUGAUACAAAUUCAGGCUAUCUCAAGAAAAGUUAUAUUGUUGCAUCCCAUGGCUAUAUUAUGAAUUCACUAUAUAAUUGCCCUUUAUUAUUGAAUUUAACGAAAUUCAAGGCCAUAAACAACAACUUGAACUCUAUUAAAUUGCAACAAAUAUCAUCUGCAGGUAUUCGCUUUCCUAUUAGUAUGUGAUAUAUAUAUAUAUAUGUUGCACUAUCAGCACAUUAAUUUUAUGAAUUCCGAGAUGCCAAAUCUAGCUAGCCAAGUAAUGUCACAUACUAAUUCAAUUUAAGGGAUAUAUUAUAAGGGAACUCAACCCAAAGUCAUGGUAGUAACUGAGAACCCAUAUUGUUUCUGGUCAAUUUAGCAACUAAAAUCUGCAAAUUUUUAUCCAUGCAACAUUAAAUAUUACUUCAUCAGUUGCAUAUUGAAAAUCUUUAGACUUUCUUCAGACAUAUAAAAUUAAGGAGGGAGAGAAAUAAAGAAGCAACGUAUAUAUAGUUACGUUGCCUAUGCUGAGUUCUACAAAAUGGAAGGCUGGGGAGCCUAAAAUCCAAACAAAAUCAGAAUCUAAAAGCUGCUGGGAAAAGAGAAAGAACCUGGAAAAAUCGAUAUUGCGACUAAACAAGCUGGAAUAAACAUUGCAAUGUGCAGCCUGUUUAAGGAAGGAAGGAAAAGCAUAAUAGUGAAAUAUGCGAAUGAGAGGAAGAAUCUUCUCAAGGUACUGUGCGUAUAUUCGAGGUUAUUCUUUGACAUAUGCUGCUAAAAGUGUAGUUGGAAUUUUUCAACUUUGGUCAAAAACAAAAACCGCAUUGAAUAUCCUCCUUUUCAGUUUUCUAUUUUGUAUAUAUUUGUUUAGGACCACAGUAUUAUUCUACAUUUAUAACUUGUUUAGAAUCACAAAUUUUAAAAGUUUUUAUUUUUUUUUAAACUUUGUGUCCAGUCAAACAUGUUCAUGUAAAUUGGAAUGAAGCGAGUUUUAUUUUUUUACAGCCCAAGUCUAAGUAUGGUUUAAAAAAAAUACUUCAUAGUUUCAAAUUUCUGUAAAAAGGAGUAUAAACCAAAAUAAGUGGUCAAAAAUCACCCUAAAUUAUGCAAAAUCGUCUAAAUAUACUUUCCCUUAAUAGUUUAGGUCAAUAAUAUCCUCAUUGUUACAAAAAUGAUCUAUAUAUGCCCCUUUUUACCAUCGGUAAUUAUACCAGAACUAAAAUAGUGAGAAAGAGCUUCAUGUUGACGCCUUGACCAAUGACAUUAUAAUAAACUUUUUUUCUACUUAGUACUACGAAUAGAAAUGUAGGUUGAGUAGUUAGUAAGCGUAUUUGAGUAAAUGACUAAUUAGUUAGUUUUAGUAGUUAAUAUACGGUAUUUGUACACUACAUUUCUUCAGACUUUGUUCAAGUUCAAUAGAACAAUUACUUUCAAUCCUAACCUUCUCUCUCUUUCUUCGACUGCGUUCAUAGCAAGCAUAUCAAUGGCUUCCUUUCACAUAGUAUCAGAGUGGGCGAAGAAGAUCUGAGCUUGCAUGUUCGUCAGGGAGUAAAGAAGGUUGAGGUUCAGUCAAAAGAAACCAAACAGAGUCUCAAAGCUUUUUUGAUCCAAAAUGGUGGAGAACAAGAUCGAUCAUACCCAUCCUCUGUUCGUGCACCUAUCUGAUACUCCAGGAUCAGUGUUGGUUCCAAUCCAGCUCAAAGGAUCUGAGAAUUACGGCCUAUGGCGGAGAUCGAUGAAGAUUGCACUUUAAGCUAAACGAAAACUAGGGUUUGUUAAUGGCAAGUGUAGCAAAGCUGGAUUUCCUGAAGCUUUGCAUGAGGACUGGGAGACUUGUAAUGCCAUAGUUCUUUUGUGGAUCAUGAAUACUGUGUCGCCGGACCUGCUCAGUGGGAUUGUAUAUCCAUCAAAUGCUCGAAUACCAAAGCUGAAUUUCCUGAAGCUUUGCAUGAGGCCCGGGAGACUUGUAAUGCCAUAGUUCUUUUGUGGAUCAUGAAUACUGUGUCGCCGGACCUGCUCAGUGGGAUUGUAUAUCCAUCAAAUGCUCGAGUUGUGUGGGAGGAUCUUCGUGAGAGAUUCGACAAGGUGAAUCGCAUGAGGAUCUAUCAGCUUCAUAGAGAAAUUGCAACUAUAUCCCAAUGUACUGAUUCUGUAUCCACACAUUUUACAAAAUUAAAGGAGUUAUGGGGGGAAUUUGAUGCAAUCGUGCCACCUCCAAAUUCUGUGAAGGAUUGUGUUGAUCUCUUAAAUCAACAAAGGUUACUUCAAUUUUUGGGAGGUUUGAAUGACUCAUAUAGUCAGGCAAGACGUCAAAUUCUCAUGAAAUUUACAGAACCUAGUCUAAAUCAGGCAUAUGCCAUGGUUAUUGAGGAUGAGACCCAAAAGGGAACCACAGGGCAAGGCUUUAUAGGUCACAGCUCACUAAUGGAUGGUAAUGAUAUUACUGCACUCUGGAGUGAUAGAAGUUCUCAGAUGCAGAAACCUAAAAGGAACUUCAAUGUAAUUUAUGAUUUUUGUAAGAUGAAAGGACAUAGCAAGGAAAAUUGCUAUCAGUUGUUGGAUAUCCGCCAUAUUUUAAGGGGAGAAGAAAUCCUAUGGCUAAUUCUGCACACCUUGGUAAUCCUAUACAAUUAGGAAAUCAUAGUCAACAACAGGAAAUGGGAAAUAUGUUAUAAUGUAGGUUCCAUAGGGCCAUCAGGAUACUUUGCAAGUACAGAAAGAGAUACAAGAAUGAAUAUGCAGAUGCCAAUGUCAUUUACUGCUGAAUAAUAUGAUCAAAUUUGGAAAAGCUACAAAAGGACAGCUCACAAGAAUCAACAGUGAAUGCAGCUAAUGCAGUAGGUAUAAUUGAUUCUCUAAUACUUGCAAAUGUUGUCAGUGUAGAUCAUUCAAAUGAUAAUAAAGCCAAGGAUGAUAAAUGGAUUGUAGAUACAGGUGCAACAGAUCACAUGGUGUCUAGUAGUGAUAUGAUCUCCAGGCCUAAAGAAAAUUCUAGAAGUGUAGGAGGAAAAGUUCAUUUACCAAAUGGUGAUAGCUUGGCUAUAUCGUGUGUAUGAAGCUCAGAACUAGAUCAAGGGAUAAUAUCUAAUGUACUUUGCAUACCAGGGUUUAAAUAUAAUCUACUAUCAGUGUCAAAAUAGACAAGGGAACUAAAUUGUUGCAUGCAAUUCUAUCCUGAUUUUUGCCUCAUGCACGACCUUCAUACUGGGAAAGUGAAGGGGACUGAUAGAAGGAAUGGAGAUCUUUACUACUGACCUUGCAGUGAUAGAGACAGAGCUCAAGCAGCAGCAGUGCUAUAUGUGAACAAUGAAGAAGAACUAUGGCAUAAAAGAUUAUGACAUGUCCCACAUAAGAUCCUACAACAGAUGCAUAUCAUAAAAUGUAAUAGAUUACACAGUCAUAAUAAUGUUUGUGCCAUUUGCCCUCUGGCAAAACAAACAAGAGUUCCUUUUCCACAAAGUACUAGUAGAGCUUCUAAGGUCUUUGAUUUGGUGCAUGGUGAUUUUUGGGGUCCUUAUAGAACUCCAACAUAUGAUGGGAAUAGAUUCUUUCUUAAUUUGGUAGAUGAUCAUAGUAGAAUGGUAUGAAUUUUCUUGCUCAAACAUAAAAGUGAUGUAUCUACAAUCAUAAAGGACUUCAUGACUCUUGUGAAGACACAGUUUAAUAGUACUAUCAAAGUAUUUAGAACAGACAAUGGAACUGAGUUCUUUAAUUCCCAUUAUGUUGAACUAUUUAGACAUGCAUGUAUAGUGUCAUGACUCUUGUGAAGACACAGUUUAAUGGUACUAUCAAAGUGUUUAGAACAGACAAUGGAGUUGAGUUCUUUAAUUCCCAUUGUGCUGAACUAUUUAGACAUGCAUGUAUAGUCCAUCAAAGCUCCUGUGUUUACACACCCCAACAAAAUAGAGUGAUUGAACGAAAACACAGUCAGAUUCUUGAAGUUGCAAGGGCCAUCAGGUUUCAGGGAAAUAUUCCUCUGAAGUUCUGGGGGUUUUGUGUACAAAAUGCAGUGUACUUGAUCAACAGAAUACCAUCCACAACAUUGGCAGGUAAAUCACCUUUUGAGAUAUUCUAUGGUAGGCCACCCAAACUACAGCACUUAAGAGUUUUGGGGAGUCUUUGUUAUGCUUAUGCCACAGCUACAGAUAGAGGUCAUAAAUUUGGAGCUAGAGCAGAACCUGCAGUCCAUAUGGGAUAUUCUUCCACUCAAAAGGGUUAUAGAUUAUAUAGUCUUACUAUACAAGCAUUUCUUUGUUAGCAGGGAUGUCUCUUUCAAGGAACACAUAUUUCCUUUUCAGACUACAUUCUCAGCACAAAAGAGAAGCACUGGUGAGUAACUUCUUGAUGUAGAUUAUGCCUUUGUUUUUUAUGUUGUUGAUUUAGAGGCUCUAUCAACUCCUUCUAAGGCAUCACCAAUUCCUUAACAUAUGCUGCCAACUUCAGCAGACCCGGUUCAGCCUCCCAUUCCCACACCAACUUCUGCACCAGUAAUACCACCUCCAAAUAUGGAUUCAUUGAAUGAUGCACCAGCUGAGGGACUCAGAAAGUCUGCUAGGAAUUCUAAGCCACCUCGUUGGCUUAAUGAUUUUGUUCAAUGCCUUCAAUGCCUUUCUUCAAGUUGAUUUGAUAGAAGAAGUCUACAUGAUACCUCAUCCUGGUCUUUUAAUUGAGGGAGGGCCUCCUAGAGUGUACAAACUUCAGAAGUCCUUAUAUGGGCUUAAACAUGCUUCUAGGCAGUGGAACCUGAAGCUUAGUGAAGCCCUCUCUUCUUCAGGAUUUCUCCAAAUCCAUCAUGAUUAUUCUCCUUUCAUUAAAAAGUCCAGUUCUGGCUUAUUUCUAAUUCUCACCUAUGCAGAUGAUCUCUUGAUCAUUGGUUCUUCUUCUCAGUUGAUUCAGGAGGCCAAAUUUGUCUUAAAAAGUCACUUCAAGAUCAAGGAUAUGGGGGAAAUGAGAUAUUUCCUUGGUCUUGAAGUUGUUAGGAGCACACAAGGCAUUUUGGCCUGUAAAAGGAAGUUCACUCUUGAUCUUAUUGGUACACUUGGUUUGGCGGGUUCUAAACCAACCUGCACACCUCUAGAUACUAGCCAUAAAUUUACUAGAGCUGACUAUGAUCACACUAAUGCUCAAGCAAAUGCCAAUGUGGUUGUAGAUGAGUUACUUACUGAUCCAAGCAGAUAUCACAGUUGGUUGGAAAGCUGCUAUACCUCACCAUGACAAGGCAGGAUAUCAGUUAUGCAGUCCAAACUCUAAGCCAGUUCAUGCACAUGCCAAAGAAGCCUCAUUGGGAAGGGGCCUUAAGAGCGGUAAGAUAUCUCAAGAAUGCACCAGGGUUGGGAAUCCUACUUUCUUCUCAAGUAUCUAAUCAGCUCACAGUGAUGUAGACUGGGCUACUUGUUCAAUGACUAGAUGAUCAGUGAGUGGAUUUGUGGUUAAACUGGGAAAUUCUCAUAUCUCAUGGAAAAUCAAGAAACAGAAUAUUGUACCAAGGAGUUCUGCAGAAGCUGAGUAUAGAAGUAUGGCUAAUGCCAUAGCAAAAAUAGUGUGGUUGACAGGACUGUUCAAGGAGCUGAGUGUUGAGCUGCAGCUUCCUAUAAAGCUCUACUGUGACAGUAAAACAAACAUACAAAUUGCACCAAAUCCCAUCUACCAUGAAAGAAUAAAGCAUAUCGAGAUAGACUGCCAUUUCAUUUGAGAAAAGAUUCAACACGGCCUAAUACAAACUGCACAUGUUUCUACAGACUUGCAAAUUGCAGAUGUGUUGACAAAAGGAUUAGGGAAGGCACAACACGAGUUCUUGUUAUCCAAGCUUGGAGUGUUCAAUCUAUUCACACUGCACAACUUGAGGGGGAGUAUUACGAAUAGAAAUGUAGGUUGAGUAGUUAGUAAGGGUAUUUAAGUAAAUGGUAAUUAGUUAGUUUUAGUAGUUAAUAUACAAUAUUUGUACAAUACACUUCUUCGGACUUUGUUCAAGUUCAAUAGAACAGUUACUCUCUCUCCCAACGUUCUCUCUUCCUUCGAUUGCGUUCAUAGCAAGCAUAUAAUGGCUGCCUUUGACACUUGGCUUGAUAAAAAUGUUCAAAACAAUUUGUAAUACACUAAUACGCAAUCUAUACGUGUCUUAUUAUUAUUAUUAUUAUUUAAAAGUGGGAGUUGGGGUGUACGAACAGAUACAAACAGGGGUAAGAUCGGGAUUUCAAAUAAAAUGCUGCUUAUGCUUUGCCAAAUUUUAGCCUCCCCUCUAUGACUUAAUGCUCUGGCAAUUUGGGGUUUAAUGGUAUUUUCGGUCAUUCCUUGUUUUUUAUCGAAUUUCCAGAAGCUACUCAGCACUCCUAUUCUCUUCAUUUGCUAUUCCUUGAGGAAAAAUCUAGCUUUCAGCUUCUACUCUUUUGCCUGGCUCCUUCUCUUUCUAUUGAGCCUUCACUAUUUUACUUUCUUGAGAAAUAACACCACAAGUUCCUAUAUUCUGUUUGAGUUUGGUUGCUCCAUCGUUACUUGGCAUCUGCAGGUGAAAAUUUCUUUUCAAACUUCCAAAGUUUCCUCUUUCUUGGUGACAUCUGUAGUUGAAAAUCUCUUUACAAACUUCUAAAUUUCUCGAUUUCGGUUUCAUAUUAUCUCAGUAUGUGCUUUAUAGUUCUGAAAGUUUCUAUUGUCUAGAUCUUUUUGUACAUUGGGAUCUAUACUUGAUGAAUUCUUUUCAAUAUGCCUAAAUUUAAUCAAUCGUAGUUCUAUGUUGUCUCUGGUAUGUGCAAUAUAGUUGUGGUGAGUUUUCCUAUAAUUCUUGCUUCUUCUUUUCUUAUAUGCACAUUGUCGCUAAUGCUAUUUUUAGUGGGUAUCAGGUAGUUCCCCUGUUCGUUGGAUAUUUUCUUGCUGGAGUUUCACAUGCAUGGCUGUAAGUAUAUUAAAUUUGCACACUAAUGCACUGACGAUGCUUGAUAAUAUGCCUAAAUCAACAGCUUCUUUUAUUUUUUUCAUUUGCCCCCUUCCUCUGUCCUCGUAAUUAAUUUUUUAUGGAAAUUUGAUCAAUCUUCUUACCAGCGCUACAACUUCCAGUCCUUUAAGAUAAAAUUUCUGUAAAAUUAUGUCCAAAACGGCUGGUAGUUAUAGGCUUAUAGCUUUAACUUUAUUAAAAAUUUCUGUAAAUUUAUCUCCAAAACGGCUGGUAGUUAUAGGCUUAUAGCUUUAACUUUAUUAAUGCAUAACAUAUGUAGGAAGAAUUUUUUUGAACCUUGCAUACUCGAUGUACCUUCAUCAGAAAGAGAAUGUGAAAUUGCUAGGAGAAAAUUAGAUAUUUUUAACGAAUGGAGAGACUCAGUUGGAGAAUGUGUUAUCUUAUUUGAAAUUGCUUGGAGAAAAUGUGAAAUGUACAUUUUGUUAUCUAAUGUAGCUGGGUAGCUGCCAGUUACAAAGUUUAAAGCUAUACAAGACUAGACUAGGAUUUAAAAAAGACGUUGUUUAGUAACUUUAUAGUUUUUUCAGCGUCUAGCUAAGAUGAAUCCUUGAAUAUUGAGGACCUUAAUGGGCCAUAUCGAAAUAUCUUGGAGAAGGUUGUAGAACAGUAGAAGGAGGAGAAGUGUUUUGCUUAGAACAAUCCUAACUAUUCAUUAUUGUCCGCUAUAUGUGUCUCUUUGUAGAAUGGAGGUAAGGAUAAUAUGGGUUUGGUAAAGCUCAAGAAGUGCUUAUCAUGACUAGGAGGAAUAACCCGUAUAAACAUGGUACUAGCUUGCAGAGUAUUGCUGCAGCAAUAAUGUGUGGUGAAAAUGAAACAACUGAAAACAACUUCAAGAAGGUGGUAACCAUGCUAAAGGAAGAGGAGUAUUUUGCUGAAAAGGUGCAGUGAAUUGAAGUAAUUGUCAAAGUCAAUUUAUCUUGCUCUCUCUCUUUAUACACACACACACUUUUUUGUAGCUUUGAUGCCUACAUCUUUGAAUUAUCACCAGUUAGCAAAAUCUUUUAUCUCUUUUUCCAUGUUAUAGGAGAGUCAGAGACAUAAUUCUUCUUUACCUUAAUUGGCAUGUUUCUAUGGUCCGUAGAAGAUGUGGUGACAUUUCUUGAGAAGGCUAUAGAAAAGGUUUCGUUACUAUGACUAGAACAAUCUCAUCAUUAUAAUUGGAUGGACUGUUCUUGGAUUACCACAAGUUAUAUUUCUUGCUUUACCUUCGGUUUUAGUCCUGCUCUAUCAUUCCCAAUUAUUAAAUUUUAGACAUAGAAUUGAAAUUAUAUUCAUGAAAAAAUAACACUAUUAGAGAUGAUUAGCAGGUGAAACUAUCUUCCAGAGCAUGUAUGUGUUAUAUUUUCUUUAGUUUCUUUCCUCUCUGGCGUGUUUAGUAUGGUGGUCCGGCUUUAAUUCAAGUUCAAUGGUUGAUGUGUAAUUGGUUGUUGGGCCCAACUUAUUUUUUAAAACUACUGAAAAUUAUCUCCAAUACGACUGAGAGUAGAGAUUAUGUUUGGACUUUGGUGGUUAUAGGCUUAUAGCUUUUAACUUUGUUAAUGCUUAGACAUAUGUAAUAGGAAUUUCUUCUAUGGUAUUGGUUGUUUCUACUGUAUAUACUUUUAUACAUUCUUUCUUAUGUACAUUUGUGCACAUCAAGUUCAUAAAAAUGACUUUUAGUACUAUCACGCUAGGAACAUCCAAGAUGUUUGAACAUAUGCGUGAAGCAAUUAACAAAAUUUAUUGUAAUUCUUUUCCAUCAUGUUUACCGCAACAUCAUUCAAUAACAUAUCUCUAUUAUUUAUAGUUAUGUGAACGAAAUAUAUCUCAUAUGUAUGUCGUUUGCUCUCAUUUGUCUUUCUGUUGUCUUACUAUUUUUCUAACUUUGUUUAAACAAAAUAAUAAAGUUAAAAGUAUGAUUCAGAUUAUAUUAUCCUUGAAAUUUAAUUUAACAAAAUUAUAGAUUGUUUGAAACAGGAAUGCACUCUGGAAGCAAAUUUACUCUGGAGUUAUGCCGGAUACCUCAAAGGAAGAAAAUAAUUAUUUUGUUGUCACAACUAGAGAUAAAAGAAUUGAUUAGAAAAAAUGGAGACUCCUCCAUCAUUCAAGUAAUAUAGUCUCAUCUCCAGAAGUUGACAACCGACCUCGAAAGGGCUCUUACAUGCAUUAUCCCUUGAAGAAGGUCAACAAGACAACAUUGUUAUCUUCCUUUCUGAAAUAUUUCUGGUAUAACUUAUAUUGGUUACAUGCAUGAUAUCUUAUGGGUACGUAUAGGUAUAUUUAGAUAGUUGAAUCAAUCUACUCUCAUUAAAGUUACUUUUCAUGUAAUAGAUCGUGCUUCUGGAGCUAAAUAAGUACAUUUUUUCCAAAGGGCUACCAAAGACGUUCACGGGAAUUUAGUAUAGUUUCUAGCAUCUUUCUUCCUCCUUCCAACUUUAUGUAAAUCUCUCUGCUUACCAGAAAG
This 16756-nucleotide long non-coding RNA is filed under the name Nicotiana benthamiana. Its description in RNAcentral is "long non-coding RNA (NBEN_LNC005537)". Lineage: Eukaryota; Viridiplantae; Streptophyta; Magnoliopsida; Solanales; Solanaceae. The record is from RNAcentral.